GACGAACGCUGGCGGCGUGCUUAACACAUGCAAGUCGAACGGAAAGGCCCUGCUUUUGUGGGGUGCUCGAGUGGCGAACGGGUGAGUAACACGUGAGUAACCUGCCCUUGACUUUGGGAUAACUUCAGGAAACUGGGGCUAAUACCGGAUAGGAGCUCCUGCUGCAUGGUGGGGGUUGGAAAGUUUCGGCGGUUGGGGAUGGACUCGCGGCUUAUCAGCUUGUUGGUGGGGUAGUGGCUUACCAAGGCUUUGACGGGUAGCCGGCCUGAGAGGGUGACCGGCCACAUUGGGACUGAGAGACGGCGCAGACGCCUACGGGAGGCAGCAGGGGGGAAUAUUGCACAAUGGGAGGAAGCCUGAUGAAGCAACGCCGCGGGCGGGAUGACGGCCUUCGGGUUGUAAACCGCUUUAGCCUGUGACGAAGCGUGAGUGACGGUAAUGGGUAAAGGAGCACCGGCUAACUACGUG
Molecule: ribosomal RNA, 468 nt
Filed under: uncultured bacterium
Lineage: Bacteria
Description: partial 16S ribosomal RNA
Rfam family: Bacterial small subunit ribosomal RNA
Source: RNAcentral